CUUGAACCCUAUAAGAGGUCCAGCCUGCCCAGUGAAACAAUUCAACGGCCGCGGUAUCCUAACCGUGCGAAGGUAGCGUAAUCACUUGUUCUCUAAAUCAGGACUAGUAUGAACGGCAUCACGAGGGUUAUACUGUCUCCUUUUUCCAAUUAGUGAAUUUAAUUUUCCCGUGAAGAAGCGGGAAUAAGCCUAUAAGACGAGAAGACCCUAUGGAGCUUUAAACAAUCUAGCAUCUGCCUAUAUCCUUCAUGUUUCAGAACUCUCUAGACCUCCUACAUAAUGACUAGAAGUUUUAGGUUGGGGUGACCGCGGAGUAAAACCCAUCCUCCAUAAUGAAAGAAUUUUAAUUCUUAACCAAGAAAUACCUAUCUAAGUAUUAACACACUGACAUUUAUUGACCCAAUACAAUUGAUCAACGAAC
Molecule: ribosomal RNA, 421 nt
Filed under: Amazophrynella aff. manaos ABGD cluster 4
Lineage: Eukaryota; Metazoa; Chordata; Amphibia; Anura; Bufonidae
Description: partial large subunit ribosomal RNA
Rfam family: Bacterial large subunit ribosomal RNA
Source: RNAcentral